GCGAGACCCUGAGGCGAUUUGGCCACCGGAUUGCGGGCCUCGUAAAACAUUCCGCUAAAGAGGUCGAGGACGUUUCGCC
RNAcentral lists this non-coding RNA (79 nucleotides) under Rhodobacterales bacterium. Lineage: Bacteria; Pseudomonadati; Pseudomonadota; Alphaproteobacteria; Rhodobacterales. The record is from RNAcentral.